CGUGAGCGGCGGACGGGUGAGUAACGCGUGGGUAACCGUGCCUCAUACAGGGGGAUAACAGUUGGAAACGGCUGCUAAUACCGCAUAAGCGCACAGUACCGCAUGGUACGGUGUGAAAAACUCCGGUGGUAUGAGAUGGACCCGCGUCUGAUUAGGUAGUUGGUGGGUAACGGCCUACCAAGCCGACGAUCAGUAGCCGACCUGAGAGGGUGACCGGCCACAUUGGGACUGAGACACGGCCCAA
Molecule: ribosomal RNA, 244 nt
Filed under: uncultured bacterium
Lineage: Bacteria
Description: partial 16S ribosomal RNA
Rfam family: Bacterial small subunit ribosomal RNA
Source: RNAcentral